This 69-nucleotide transfer RNA is filed under the name Petropedetes sp. MVZ 234827. RNAcentral's name for it is "tRNA-Val". Lineage: Eukaryota; Metazoa; Chordata; Amphibia; Anura; Petropedetidae. The record is from RNAcentral.
CAAAAUGUAGUUUAAUAAAAUCCUCUCGCUUACACCGAGACCAUAUCUGUUCGACUCAGAUCAUUUUGA